This 71-nucleotide transfer RNA is filed under the name Promethearchaeota archaeon. Its description in RNAcentral is "Candidatus Lokiarchaeota archaeon (marine sediment metagenome) tRNA-Arg". It matches the Rfam family "tRNA", at positions 6 to 65 of the family's 71-position model. From Rfam's summary of the family: Transfer RNA (tRNA) molecules are approximately 80 nucleotides in length. Their secondary structure includes four short double-helical elements and three loops (D, anti-codon, and T loops). Further hydrogen bonds mediate the characteristic L-shaped molecular structure. tRNAs have two regions of fundamental functional importance: the anti-codon, which is responsible for specific mRNA codon recognition, and the 3' end, to which the tRNAs corresponding amino acid is attached (by aminoacyl-tRNA synthetases). tRNAs cope with the degeneracy of the genetic code in two manners: having more than one tRNA (with a specific anti-codon) for a particular amino acid; and 'wobble' base-pairing, i.e. permitting non-standard base-pairing at the 3rd anti-codon position. Lineage: Archaea; Promethearchaeati; Promethearchaeota. The record is from RNAcentral.
GGCUCGUGGUUUAGCCUGGAUGGAACGCCUGCCUGCGGAGCAGGAGAUCCCGGAUUCAAAUUCUGGCGCCA